AAUCACUCCCAGAUGAAUAUAUAAUUUUAGCGCACUUUUUUAUUCCCGCUAAUUUUUCCCGCUUUAAGUAUUUCAGUCGUUUUAAUUUGCUUACACCACAGCUUACCACAGAUUUCUACCCACCAUAACUUUUUGUUUUACACCACAACCCACCAUAUAAAUAUUUCUGCAGGCCCACAAAGUGUUUGACAAAUUGUCUCAAAGAAAGAACUUCAAGAGGAUAAUGGAAGUAGUUCAUCAUCGCUGCGGAGAAGAUGAUGUUAUUAGCAACAUGCAAGAUAAUGUGAUUGCUAAUAUUAUGGAUCGUUUGCCGUUGAAAGACGCGGUGGCGACUAGUAUUUUGUCACCGAGUUGGAGAUUUAAGUGGACUCUCCUCACCCAACUCAUACUUGAUGAUAACUUCUUUCGUAGUUUACUAAGACGAAAAGUUCACUUUAAUAAAACUAUUAUAAGUAAACUUCUCAUUCAUCUUAAACUUACAAAUUUUGACCUCACUGUAACCGAUGAUAUCAAAUUAGAGGAUGAGGAUAUUCAUCAUUGGGUUA
Erigeron canadensis is the source of this 545-nucleotide long non-coding RNA. RefSeq lists it as uncharacterized. NCBI's taxonomy places the organism in Eukaryota, Viridiplantae, Streptophyta, Magnoliopsida, Asterales, Asteraceae. The record is from RefSeq and is a predicted model, not a curated record. The transcript has 2 exons.